RNAcentral lists this small RNA (759 nucleotides) under Drosophila yakuba. Its description in RNAcentral is "GE28940". Lineage: Eukaryota; Metazoa; Arthropoda; Insecta; Diptera; Drosophilidae. The record is from RNAcentral.
AAUCCUGAGUUAUGGGAGCCAUGAUGAUGUAAAAUUGGUUUUUUUAUAACAUUACAACCGAAAAGGCAAAUACUAUCAGCUUAGCUUAGCGAAACUUUGAAAACAUUUCAUAGGCGUUUUAAAAUUUUUAUAAAUCCGGUGUGGUUGCGUAUGAUUACAUAAAAACAAUUCAUUGGUGGGACCGAAAGCAACGUAGCCAUGUAAACUAAGUGGAACAGGAGAGAGCAUACAAAAUUGGUUUUUUGAUAAGAAAACAUUCGCAGCCUAAUGAACCUAUUUCUUUUGUCACGCAGUUAAGUUUAGGAGCAAAUACACCCUUUGUAUGCGGUUUUACUUGUAACUUAACACAAGCGAAAUAAAGGGAGCCAAAACAUUGGAGAUGACAAAGGGCGUUAUUGUUGCAGCUCCCACUCCGACCUAAGCUCUUCAAGCUUGGAAUAUCUCGCUUCGCCCCGUUAUUACCACUCAAUGCGAAAAAUCACAAGCAGUUUCAAGUAUUUUUACAGUCAAAUUGUUUUUAUUCACUUAAACAAAUAAUCAAGAGCAAAACGAUGAAUCUCACUUUACCGACAAAACAACACAGUAGCUCCAGGGUUGAAAAGUGUUUGAGGGAUGACUUCUUAACCGCCCGUUCCGCUGCUUAUACUUGAGGACGCCUCGAGUACUAGAUUCGCUGAAAUGUAUGUAAGACGGGGUAUUGGGACUUCUCAACAAAAGCAGUACUCGAGUAGAUUUAAGAAGAGAUGCAGAAAAAGUAUU